GACGAACGCUGGCGGCGUGCUUAACACAUGCAAGUCGAACGGAAAGGCCCUGCUUGCCGGGUGCUCGAGUGGCGAACGGGUGAGUAACACGUGGGUGAUCUGCCCCUUACUUUGGGAUAAGCCUGGGAAACUGGGUCUAAUACUGGAUAGGACCAUGCUGUAGGUGGUGUGGUGGAAAGAUUAGUUUCGGUAAGGGAUGAGCUCGCGGCCUAUCAGCUUGUUGGUGGGGUAAUGGCCUGCCAAGGCGUCGACGGGUAGCCGGCCUGAGAGGGUGGACGGCCACAUUGGGACUGAGAUACGGCCCAGACUCCUACGGGAGGCAGCAGUGGGGAAUAUUGCACAAUGGGCGCAAGCCUGAUGCAGCGACGCCGCGUGGGGGAUGACGGCCUUCGGGUUGUAAACUCCUUUCAGCCAUGACGAAGCCCUUGUGGUGACGGUAGUGGUAGAAGAAGCACCGGCUAACUACGUG
Molecule: ribosomal RNA, 469 nt
Filed under: uncultured bacterium
Lineage: Bacteria
Description: partial 16S ribosomal RNA
Rfam family: Bacterial small subunit ribosomal RNA
Source: RNAcentral